RNAcentral lists this ribosomal RNA (164 nucleotides) under uncultured bacterium. RNAcentral's name for it is "partial 16S rRNA". It matches the Rfam family "Bacterial small subunit ribosomal RNA", at positions 355 to 511 of the family's 1533-position model. The record is from RNAcentral.
UAGGGAAUCUUCCACAAUGGGCGGAAGCCUGAUGGAGCAACGCCGCGUGUGUGAUGAAGGGUUUCGGCUCGUAAAACACUGUUGUAAGAGAAGAAUGACAUUGAGAGUAACUGUUCAAUGUGUGACGGUAUCUUACCAGAAAGGAACGGCUAAAUACGUGCCAA